CGUAGCCGCGGUAAUACAGAGGGUGCGAGCGUUAAUCGGAUUUACUGGGCGUAAAGCGUGCGUAGGCGGCUUCUUAAGUCGGAUGUGAAAUCCCUGAGCUUAACUUAGGAAUUGCAUUCGAUACUGGGAAGCUAGAGUAUGGGAGAGGAUGGUAGAAUUCCAGGUGUAGCGGUGAAAUGCGUAGAGAUCUGGAGGAAUACCGAUGGCGAAGGCAGCCAUCUGUCCUAAUACUGACGCUGAGGUACGAAAGCAUGGGGAGCAAACAGGAUUAGAUACCCGAGUAGUCCCUGUCUCUUAUACA
This 301-nucleotide ribosomal RNA is filed under the name uncultured bacterium. RNAcentral describes it as "partial 16S ribosomal RNA". It matches the Rfam family "Bacterial small subunit ribosomal RNA", at positions 510 to 808 of the family's 1533-position model. The record is from RNAcentral.